GUGCUCACUUGGGCAGCACAUAUACUAAAAUUGGAAUGAUACAGAGAAGAUUAGCAUGGCCCCUGUGCAAGGAUGACAUGCAAAUUCGUGAAGCGUUCCAUAUUUUU
This 107-nucleotide small nuclear RNA is filed under the name Dasypus novemcinctus (nine-banded armadillo). Lineage: Eukaryota; Metazoa; Chordata; Mammalia; Cingulata; Dasypodidae. The record is from RNAcentral.